CUACGGGAUGCAGCAGUGGGGAAUAUUGGACAAUGGGGGCAACCCUGAUCCAGCAAUACCGCGUGUGUGAAGAAGGCCUGCGGGUUGUAAAGCACUUUCAGUGGGGAAGAGAAGUCAAUGGCGAAUAGCCAUUGGCAGAGACAUUACCCACAGAAGAAGCACCGGCUAAGUCUGUGCCAGCAGCCGCGGUAAUACAGAGGGUGCAAGCGUUAAUCGGAAUUACUGGGCGUAAAGCGCACGUAGGUGGACAAUCAAGUUGGAUGGGAAAGCCCCGGGCUUAACCUGGGAAAGCCAUACAAAACUGUUUGUCUAGAGUACAGUAGAGGGAAGUGGAAUUUCAGGUGUAGCGGUGAAAUGCGUAGAUAUCUGAAGGAACACCAGUGGCGAAGGCGGCUUCCUGGACUGAUACUGACACUGAGGUGCGAAAGCGUGGGUAGCGAACAGGAUUAGAUACCCCGGUAGUC
Molecule: ribosomal RNA, 464 nt
Filed under: uncultured bacterium
Lineage: Bacteria
Description: partial 16S ribosomal RNA
Rfam family: Bacterial small subunit ribosomal RNA
Source: RNAcentral